UACAGAGGUGCCGAGCGUUAGGCGGAAUCACUGGGCUUAAAGCGUGUGUAGGCGGACUUCUAAGUACCUUGUGAAAUCCCACGGCUCACCCGUGGAACUGCUGGGUAUACUGGUCGUCUUGAGCCACCUAGGGGCGAGCGGAACAAAUGGUGGAGCGGUGAAAUGCGUAGAUAUCAUUUGGAACGCCAACGGUGAAAACAGCUCGCUGGGGGUGUGCUGACGCUGAGACACGAAAGCCAGGGGAG
This 245-nucleotide ribosomal RNA is filed under the name uncultured Zavarzinella sp. RNAcentral's name for it is "partial 16S ribosomal RNA". It matches the Rfam family "Bacterial small subunit ribosomal RNA", at positions 524 to 768 of the family's 1533-position model. The record is from RNAcentral. Lineage: Bacteria; Pseudomonadati; Planctomycetota; Planctomycetia; Gemmatales; Gemmataceae.